Molecule: ribosomal RNA, 440 nt
Filed under: uncultured bacterium
Lineage: Bacteria
Description: partial 16S ribosomal RNA
Rfam family: Bacterial small subunit ribosomal RNA
Source: RNAcentral
CCUACGGGAGGCAGCAGUGGGGAAUAUUGCACAAUGGGGGAAACCCUGAUGCAGCGACGCCGCGUGAAGGAAGAAGUAUUUCGGUAUGUAAAGUUCUAUCAGCAGGGAAGAAAAUGACGGUACCUGACUAAGAAGCCCCGGCUAACUACGUGCCAGCAGCCGCGGUAAUACGUAGGGGGCAAGCGUUAUCCGGAUUUACUGGGUGUAAAGGGAGCGUAGGCGGGUUAGCAAGUCUGAAGUGAAAGCCCGGGGCCCAACUCCGGGACUGCUUUUGAAACUGUGUAACUGGAGUGCAGGAGAGGUAAGUGGAAUUCCUAGGGUAGCGGUGAAAUGCGUAGAUAUUAGGAGGAACACCAGCGGCGAAGGCGGCUUACUGGACUGUAAAUGACGCUGAGGCUCGAAGGCGUGGGGAGCAAACAGGAUUAGAUACCCCAGUAGUC